Pogona vitticeps (central bearded dragon) is the source of this 1590-nucleotide long non-coding RNA. NCBI's taxonomy places the organism in Eukaryota, Metazoa, Chordata, Lepidosauria, Squamata, Agamidae. The record is from Ensembl.
AUGGAUGGUGGUUCCCGAAGGGUUUCCCUGAUGCGUAGGCAGGUCUCUGCCUCAUCCCUCCGCUCCGAGGGACAGGUUUGUGUAGCCGAACUCGCCAAGCCAAGGUGCGGUCGCUCAGAUUCUCUGGCCAAGCCAGACCCGUUAGUUGUAUCUCUGCUCCAGGCCCUCACAAAGGCAGGCAUCCCGCUUUCCGAGAUGGAAUUCUUUGAGAGUUUUCUGCAUCAGCUGGGGGCUCGACGCCCCGUCCCAUCCAUGGCCCAAAUCCACCGCACCUUUCUUCCAGCCUUGGCUCGACAUCACGAAUCAGCUCUUCGGCGCACCCUACGGCACCGCGAUGCGUUUGUUUUCCUACAUGAGGCAACGACCGGGGAUGGGCGUGCUGCCUUGGGUAUUUCUCUUCUGCCUCUUGACAGGGCUGGCAAGCCUCCAUUGCUCCUUGGGGUAGAGUUCCUGGAACAGCUGAGCCACGCUUUAGUGUCCCGUGCUGUGGCCCGUGUGCUUAGCGAGGGGCAUGUCCUAUUCCACCGGGUGCUGGCUGUGAUAACCUCCGGCAGUGCCCCUAUGAUACAGGCCUUUGCUGCCAAUGGGAUUUUGGGCACGGUGUUAUCAGCUGCCCUCCAUAUACCUUGCCUCUUGCAUCAACUGGAGCUGGUGAUGGAGCUGUGGCAAGAUCGGUUGGAAAGGCUGGCGACGCUGCUCCAUCUUCUAGAAGAGACGCUGGGCCGGCGGGCUAGCCUCCGUCACCGUUAUGAGCUCUUUUUGCACGAGCACGAGUCGGGGCUGACUCUGACUCUGCCCAAUGACCAAACCGGCCCUGAGGCUUGGCUGGAGAAAGCCGUGGGCAUUGCAGAACAUCUCCCUUUCCUGGUGGACUUUGUCGCCACGGAUGAAGAGGAGGGGUCCCUCAUGUCAAAGCUACAGACACUUCUAGGGGAAGGCAAUGAGGCGCUGGUGGCGGAAGCAAUAUUUGCAGCCGAACAUGCCCCAGCACUUCUAAAUAUGGCGCAAUUUCUCCGCCAGAGAGGUGAGCCGCUGGCCCAUCGGAUCUAUGGAGAGCUGGACUCUUUGCGCAUUUCUUUCUCCUACCACGUAGAUGCCGGGUUGGGCCCCAAAACAGAAAGGCAUUUAGCUUUGUGCCAACCUCCACUUGCCGAGCACUUCCGGGGGAUCCUGGCUCGUAGCCUCAACCGGCUGGAGCACUUGUUGGAGUCUCACCCCGCCGUGCCCACUUUGAGAGCAGUGCGGGCGCUCGAUCCCAAGCAGUUGGGUGCUGUGGGUUGGAGCCGUUCAGAGCACGAGCAGGGGAUCCCGGGGCUGGCAGAGGUGCCAGAGAUUGAGUGGUUCCGAUACCAGCACUUGGCCGAAGCGGCCCCUGCAGACGUCUCCCUGCCUCAGUGGUGGGAGGCGCAAGCGGAGCGGCUCCCCACCCUCGGCCCUCUUGCCCAACAAUUUCUUUGGCUGCCAGUCUGUUCUCCCAAGUCCCCCUUCCACCCUGGGGGCAUCCUCAACCUAACAGGGGCUGGAGAGGGAUUUACAGAGGAGUCUGUGCGCUUACUGUGCAUGAUACGGUACAACCGCAAUCUCUAUUAG